RNAcentral lists this long non-coding RNA (1098 nucleotides) under Chinchilla lanigera (long-tailed chinchilla). RNAcentral describes it as "lncRNA (ENSCLAG00000022243.1)". Lineage: Eukaryota; Metazoa; Chordata; Mammalia; Rodentia; Chinchillidae. The record is from RNAcentral.
CAGUUUUAUGAACAACUAAGUAAGUGUAGCUAAAAAUACUAAUGAGAUAUAAUUCUUAGCUUCUCAGAUGGGAGAAAAAUGAGAAGCUGGCUGACACUCAGGACCGUCAUGGCUGAGGGGACCGGGCUCUGCCAAGCACGGCUAGAAGGAGCAGAAAUCCAAACUAAUGUUCAGGGAGAUUUAUUUAUAUCUCUCUGGGUAGCUCCCUGGCUUACUCUGCAUCACUGAGAAGACUGGAGCGGGGGUUCUCAGUGCCUCAGUUUCCCCACUUACUCAGUAGCUAGAACAACAAAGACCUGUUUGUGCAGGCAGAAGAUUGAGGAGGGUGGGAAGCAGAACUAAGAAGUGAUUAUGAGGUUAUCAAUGCAAAGACCACCAGGCACUGUGACAGCGACAGUCACCUCUGACCUGCAUGGCCCCCCAGCUUCCCGCCCAGAACACUCUGACAUUUUAGUUGGUCUCAGCUGUGGCAAGAAGCAGCUGGACCCCAGUGAGAAGAGGAAACCAGAGGCUGCCUUCUGACAGCUGGGGUCAGGGUCCCUGGCUCAGUGGGCCUGAGUUCAGGUGCACCUACUUCCUCAUUCCCAUUCUGUCAAAUGGCACAUUAAUAAGCAAGAAGGAGAUUCGGGGAAGAAUUUCCAGAAGGACAAAAACUCAUCAGGAGGGCCUGAGUGCUGGCUGCCUGCACCAGCAGAAACUGGCAGGACUCAAGGCAUCCUGGGUACAGCUGUCAGAGAAGGAACAAAGAUCUGACAACCGACUGGUCCUUUCUCUGUGCUGUGCGGUAGAGGAGAGGAUGCAACCUCGUGAAUGUCCGACUGCAAAGACCCACGUCUACAAAUUGCUGUCAGCCAGAGGAAUGACUGUAACUUCCUCGGUGCCGAGGUCCAGGGAGGACUGAUCACCCAAGGAAAUGCCGGUGUUUUGUAUUGGUAAAAUUCCAACUCUGAGAUGUGCGGGCCCUUCACACCAGCCCUAUUUAUCUCACUUUGCCCAUGAGUGUCCCAGUUCACGCCUGUGGUCCUCCUUUCCAGCUCUGAAGUGCUCUGGACUGGAAUAGAUGGUUUCCUCACUCACAGGUUUCCAUGUACCAAGCAG